This 1372-nucleotide ribosomal RNA is filed under the name uncultured bacterium. RNAcentral's name for it is "bacterial SSU rRNA". It matches the Rfam family "Bacterial small subunit ribosomal RNA", at positions 28 to 1381 of the family's 1533-position model. The record is from RNAcentral.
GAUGAACGCUGGCGGCGUGCCUAAUACAUGCAAGUCGAGCGAACGGACGAGAAGCUUGCUUCUCUGAUGUUAGCGGCGGACGGGUGAGUAACACGUGGAUAACCUACCUAUAAGACUGGGAUAACUUCGGGAAACCGGAGCUAAUACCGGAUAAUAUUUUGAACCGCAUGGUUCAAAAGUGAAAGACGGUCUUGCUGUCACUUAUAGAUGGAUCCGCGCUGCAUUAGCUAGUUGGUAAGGUAACGGCUUACCAAGGCAACGAUGCAUAGCCGACCUGAGAGGGUGAUCGGCCACACUGGAACUGAGACACGGUCCAGACUCCUACGGGAGGCAGCAGUAGGGAAUCUUCCGCAAUGGGCGAAAGCCUGACGGAGCAACGCCGCGUGAGUGAUGAAGGUCUUCGGAUCGUAAAACUCUGUUAUUAGGGAAGAACAUAUGUGUAAGUAACUGUGCACAUCUUGACGGUACCUAAUCAGAAAGCCACGGCUAACUACGUGCCAGCAGCCGCGGUAAUACGUAGGUGGCAAGCGUUAUCCGGAAUUAUUGGGCGUAAAGCGCGCGUAGGCGGUUUUUUAAGUCUGAUGUGAAAGCCCACGGCUCAACCGUGGAGGGUCAUUGGAAACUGGAAAACUUGAGUGCAGAAGAGGAAAGUGGAAUUCCAUGUGUAGCGGUGAAAUGCUCAGAGAUAUGGAGGAACACCAGUGGCGAAGGCGACUUUCUGGUCUGUAACUGACGCUGAUGUGCGAAAGCGUGGGGAUCAAACAGGAUUAGAUACCCUGGUAGUCCACGCCGUAAACGAUGAGUGCUAAGUGUUAGGGGGUUUCCGCCCCUUAGUGCUGCAGCUAACGCAUUAAGCACUCCGCCUGGGGAGUACGACCGCAAGGUUGAAACUCAAAGGAAUUGACGGGGACCCGCACAAGCGGUGGAGCAUGUGGUUUAAUUCGAAGCAACGCGAAGAACCUUACCAAAUCUUGACAUCCUUUGACAACUCUAGAGAUAGAGCCUUCCCCUUCGGGGGACAAAGUGACAGGUGGCGCAUGGUUGUCGUCAGCUCGUGUCGUGAGAUGUUGGGUUAAGUCCCGCAACGAGCGCAACCCUUAAGCUUAGUUGCCAUCAUUAAGUUGGGCACUCUAAGUUGACUGCCGGUGACAAACCGGAGGAAGGUGGGGAUGACGUCAAAUCAUCAUGCCCCUUAUGAUUUGGGCUACACACGUGCUACAAUGGACAAUACAAAGGGCAGCGAAACCGCGAGGUCAAGCAAAUCCCAUAAAGUUGUUCUCAGUUCGGAUUGUAGUCUGCAACUCGACUACAUGAAGCUGGAAUCGCUAGUAAUCGUAGAUCAGCAUGCUACGGUGAAUACGUUCCCGGGUCU